AAGCGUGCGCAGGCGGUUAUGUAAGACAGAUGUGAAAUCCCCGGGCUCAACCUGGGAACUGCAUUAGUGACUGCAUAGCUGGAGUACGGCAGAGGGGGAGUGGAAUUCCGCGUGUAGCAGUGAAAUGCGUAGAUAUGCGGAGGAACACCGAUGGCGAAGGCAAUCCCCUGGGCCUGUACUGACGCUCAUGCACGAAAGCGUGGGGAGCAAACAGGAUUAGAUACCCUUGU
Molecule: ribosomal RNA, 230 nt
Filed under: uncultured bacterium
Lineage: Bacteria
Description: partial 16S ribosomal RNA
Rfam family: Bacterial small subunit ribosomal RNA
Source: RNAcentral